This 70-nucleotide transfer RNA is filed under the name Danio rerio (zebrafish). It matches the Rfam family "tRNA". Rfam says of the family: Transfer RNA (tRNA) molecules are approximately 80 nucleotides in length. Their secondary structure includes four short double-helical elements and three loops (D, anti-codon, and T loops). Further hydrogen bonds mediate the characteristic L-shaped molecular structure. tRNAs have two regions of fundamental functional importance: the anti-codon, which is responsible for specific mRNA codon recognition, and the 3' end, to which the tRNAs corresponding amino acid is attached (by aminoacyl-tRNA synthetases). tRNAs cope with the degeneracy of the genetic code in two manners: having more than one tRNA (with a specific anti-codon) for a particular amino acid; and 'wobble' base-pairing, i.e. permitting non-standard base-pairing at the 3rd anti-codon position. Lineage: Eukaryota; Metazoa; Chordata; Actinopteri; Cypriniformes; Danionidae. The record is from Rfam by way of RNAcentral.
UAUGGAGUGGCUGUAAUUAGAGAGUUGGACUUGCAAUCCAAAGGUUCGGGUUCAAGUCCCGGCACUGUAG